UACGUAGGGUGCGAGCGUUGUCCGGAAUUAUUGGGCGUAAAGAGCUUGUAGGCGGUUUGUCGCGUCUGCUGUGAAAUCUCAAGGCUCAACCUUGAGCUUGCAGUGGGUACGGGCAGACUAGAGUGUGGUAGGGGAGACUGGAAUUCCUGGUGUAGCGGUGAAAUGCGCAGAUAUCAGGAAGAACACCAAUGGCGAAGGCAGCUCUCUGGGACGGUACUGACGCUGAGACGCGAAAGCGUGGGGAGCGAACAGG
This 253-nucleotide ribosomal RNA is filed under the name uncultured bacterium. RNAcentral describes it as "partial 16S ribosomal RNA". It matches the Rfam family "Bacterial small subunit ribosomal RNA", at positions 524 to 776 of the family's 1533-position model. The record is from RNAcentral.